CCGUAGGGCGGCAGCAGUGGGGGAUAUUGCACAAUGGGGGCAACCCUGAUGCAGCGACGCCGCGUGAGCGAUGGAGUACUUCGGUAUGUAAAGCUCUGUCAGCAGGGAAGAGAAUGACGGUACCUGACCAAGAAGCCCCGGCAAAAUACGUGCCAGCAGCCGCGGUAAUACGUAUGGGGCAAGCGUUAUCCGGAUUUACUGGGUGUAAAGGGAGCGUAGGCGGCAGGGCAAGCCUGAUGGGAAAGCCCGGGGCUCAACCCCGGGACUGCAGUGGGAACUGCCCCGCUCGAGUGCCGGAGGGGCAGGCGGAAUUCCUAGUGUAGCGGUGAAAUGCGUAGAUAUUAGGAGGAACACCAGUGGCGAAGGCGGCCUGCUGGACGGUGUACUGACGCUGAGGCUCGAAAGCGUGGGGAGCAAACAGGAUUAGAUACCCCUGUAGUC
RNAcentral lists this ribosomal RNA (441 nucleotides) under uncultured bacterium. RNAcentral's name for it is "partial 16S ribosomal RNA". It matches the Rfam family "Bacterial small subunit ribosomal RNA", at positions 338 to 795 of the family's 1533-position model. The record is from RNAcentral.